UAAAUACUCUCUAAUGACCGAUAGUGAACAAGUACCGUGAGGGAAAGGUGAAAAGGACCCCUGUUAGGGGAGUUAAAAGUACCUGAAACCUGUUGCCUACAAGCGGUCAGAGCCCCUAUUGGGGUGAUGGCGUACCUUUUGCAUAAUGGGCCUAGGAGUCUAUGUCAGUUGCGAGCUUAAGCGUUUACGACGUGGAGGCGAAGCGAAAGCGAGUCUUAAUAGGGCGGUAGUAACUGGGAUAGAACCCGAAGCGGAGGCGAUCUAGCCAUGGCCAGGCUGAAGCAUCGGUAACACGAUGUGGAGGGCCGAACCCAUUAACCUUGAGAAGUUAAGGGAUGAGCUGUGGUUAGGAGUGAAAGGCUAAUCAAGCCCCGUAAUAGCUGGUUCUCUCCGAAAUAUAUUUAGGUAUAGCGUCAAAUGCUGAUUACCGGGGGUAAAGCACUGAAAAGGCUAGGGUUCACACCAGAAUACCGAACCUUAUCAAACUCUGAAUACCGGUGAGUGGAAUUUGGCAGUCAGUCAGUGGGGGAUAAGCUUCAUUGGCGAGAGGGAAACAUCCCAGACCAUCGAAUAAGGUCCCAAAGAUAGUGCUAAGUGGUAAGAAGGAUGUAAGUUUUCAUAGACAAUGGGGAUGUUGGCUUAGAGGCAGCCAUCAUUUAAAAAGUGCGUAAUAGCUUACCCAUCGAGAGAAUUUGCGCCGAAAAUGAUCGGGACUAAGUACUACACCGAAUUUGUGGAAUUAGUAAUAAUUGGUAGGAGAGCGUUCCAACAUCGUAGAAGGCGGAGCGGUGAGCGACGUUGGAGAGGUUGGAAGUGAGAAUCUAGGCAUGAGUAACGAAAAGCAUGGUCAAAAUCCAUGCCGCCGUAAGGAUAAGGUUUCCUGGGGAAGGUUCGUCCGCCCAGGGUUAGUCGGGAGCUAAGGCGAGGCCGUAAGGAGUAGUCGAUGCACAACGGGUUAAUAAUCCCGUACCGGCUUGGUAAUGUUUGAGUUGCAUAUUGACGGAUGAGUGGAUGCUGGCGAGGUGAUGAACGUCCUCGUCUAAGGUGUUGUAAGGCACUGAUGGGACUUUGAGGCUACGGCCGAGGGGGAUCAGCAAUAGCUAAUUCCAGGAAAAUUUAUGCAAUUAAUUAUCAGGUUGCCCGUACCGCAAACCGACACAGGUAUCCGGGAUGAGUAUUCUAAGGCGCGUGAGUUAAAUCUCUCCAAGGAACUCGGCAAAAUGGCCCCGUAUCUUCGGUAGAAGGGGUGCCAACGCGAGUUGGUCUCAGUAAAGAGGCCCAACCGACUGUUUAUCAAAAACACAGCUCUCUGCCAAGUCGCAAGACAACGUAUAGGGAGUGACAUGUGACCAAUGCGGAAAGGUGAAAACUGCUUGUGAAAGCUUGUGGUCUAAGCCCCCGUGAAUGUCGGCCGUAACUAUAACGGUCCUAAGGUAGCGAAAUUCCUUGUCGGGUAAGUUCCGACCUGCACGAAUCAUGUAACGAGUUGGGUGCUGUCUCAGGGAGAAGCUCAGUGAAAUUGUAGUCGCGGUUAAGAUGCCGCGUACCCGCAGAAGGACGGAAAGACCCUAUGAACCUUUACUGUAAACUGAUAUUGUCGUUUGAUUUUUAAUACGUAGGAUAGCCGGGAGGCUUUGAGUUGUCACUCCAGGGUGAUGAUGAGCCGCAAUGUGAAAUACCGGUUUUUAACUAUUAGGCGUCUAACCACAUACCGUAAGCCGGUUGUGGGACAGUGUUAGUGGGUCAGUUUGACUGGGGCGGUCUCCUCCCAAAAAGUAACGGAGGACUGCGAAGGUUCCCUCAGACCGGAUGGUAAUCGGUCGUCGAGGAUAUGGCUAAAAGGGAGCUUAACUGUGAGACCUACAAGUCGAGCAGAUGGGAAACCAGGCCCAAGUGAUCCGGCGAUAGCUCGUGGGAGCGUCGUCGCUUAUGGGACAAAAGGUACUCUAGGGAUAACAGGCUGAUUUCGCCCAAGCGUUCAUAGCGACGGCGAAGUUUGGCACCUCGAUGUCGGCUCAUCACAUCCUGGGGCUGUAGAAGGUCCCAAGGGUUUGGCUGUUCGCCAAUUAAAGUGGUACGCGAGCUGGGUUCAGAACGUCGUGAGACAGUUCGGUCCUCUAUCCUCUGUGGGCGUUGGAAAAUUGAGGGGUUCAGAC
Molecule: ribosomal RNA, 2156 nt
Filed under: human gut metagenome
Description: bacterial LSU rRNA
Rfam family: Bacterial large subunit ribosomal RNA
Source: RNAcentral